UGCAGUAUCAGUUUCUGUCAGACCAGUUUGUUAAAAAAGCACUUUGAGUAAAUAGCAGAGGCCAGGCUGAAACUAAAAUAGGGAGACUUAAAAAAAUGUUUUGUUUUUUUAAUAAGUCGAAUUUAAUGCCCUCUCAGGGUUAAACAAAAUUCUCUUCAGGAUAAAGACUGCCCAUUUGAGAGGGAGUUUCGGAGCUGGGGAGGGAGGGAGUUGGAGACCGGACCCUGAGGUAUUAUUGGAGGCAUUAGAUUGCAUCAAGGAGUUUUGCACAAGAGAGAAAAUAGAGGAGUUGACCUUUUGUUGUAUACUAGCUAUGUUCCUGAAAAAUUACGUGAAAAAUUUCCAAACUGAUUCCCACUCACAAUGCAACAGGCAAGGUCACUGAAAAAUCUCUCCCAGAAGUUUUAUAAAAGGCGGUCCCUGCAGGGUUGGGAGUCCGACGGACUAAGAAAGGAAGGAUUGGUCCCUGCCUUGAUCUUCUCUGAGGUACCAAGCACUUAUAUCUGCAAGUGCAUCAAGUGGAGACAGGUCUGAGGAAUACAAAAGGAACGACUACAACUAAAAAUGAAGUCCAACAAUGCUGCAGGAUACAAGAUCGAUAUACAAAAAUCAGUUGUAUUUCUAUACACUUGCAGUGACGCAUCUGAAAAUGAAAUUAAGAAAAAAGACCCAUUUAUAACAACAUUAAAAAGAAUAAAAUAUUUAGGAACAUACUUAACAAAAGAAGUGUAAGAAUUAAACACCAAAAACUACAAAACAUUGCUGAAAGAAAUUAAAGACCUAAAUUAGUGAAAAGGAAUCCCAUAUACAUAGAUCAAAAGAUUUCACUUUCUUAAGAUGGCAAUUGUCCCUAAAUGGCUCUAUAGGUUCAAUGCAAUCCCUAUCAAAAAUGCCAACUGCUUUGUUUUGCAAAUUGGCAAAAUGAUCUUAAAAUUCAUAUGGAAAUGCAAGUGACCCUGAAAAGCCAAGACAAUCUUGAAGAAAAAGUUGUAAGAUUCACACUUCCCCAUUUUGAAACUUACUACAAAGGUACAGUAAUUAAAAUGGUGUAGCACUAACAUCUGAAACUCAUAUAACACUGUAUGUUAACUACUCUGGAAUUAAAAACAAAACAAGGGUGCCUGGGUGGCUCAGUGGGUUAAGGUGCUGCCUUCGGCUCAGGUCAGGAUCCCAGGGUCCUGGGAUCGAGUCCUGCAUUGGGCUCUCUGCUCAGGGGGGAGCCUGCUUCCUCCUGGCUCUCUCUCUGCCUGCCUCUCUGCCUGCUUGUGAUCUCUCUCUCUUUGUCAAAUAAAUAAAUAAAAUCUUUAAAAAAAAAAAAAAAGGGAAAAGGAAAUUUAGAGACANNNNNNNNNNNNNNNNNNNNNNNNNNN
RNAcentral lists this long non-coding RNA (1370 nucleotides) under Mustela putorius furo (domestic ferret). RNAcentral describes it as "lncRNA (ENSMPUG00000028952.1)". The record is from RNAcentral. Lineage: Eukaryota; Metazoa; Chordata; Mammalia; Carnivora; Mustelidae.